RNAcentral lists this unclassified non-coding RNA (350 nucleotides) under Hevea brasiliensis (rubber tree). Lineage: Eukaryota; Viridiplantae; Streptophyta; Magnoliopsida; Malpighiales; Euphorbiaceae. The record is from RNAcentral.
CAUCAUAUUUCCCAUUAUUUUUUGACCUAUGGUUUGACUCCUUUGGAUACCAGCAGCAUCAGCAGGUUUCCGAGUUCUUGAUGGUGAUGGAAGGCCUUCUGAUCCAUCCAAAUUGCUUUGCAAUCCUGAUUCUUGACUGUUAUCCAGCGAAGCAGAUGCAUUUGGAUUCCCCCCAAUGCUAUGAGCACUAAUUGGAAAUGCCAAUGCAGAUACCUUUCCAUUAUCACUGAUAUCAAAUUGACGAUCAUCUGCAACAUCACCUGUAAUUACCUCUGAAUCCAUAACUAGCACCGAGGGGCUUUUUUGGUUCUCAAAACUCACAGCAUUAAGCAACUCAAGCGGUUGUGUUG